Molecule: long non-coding RNA, 1599 nt
Organism: Phasianus colchicus (ring-necked pheasant)
Lineage: Eukaryota; Metazoa; Chordata; Aves; Galliformes; Phasianidae
Source: RefSeq, a predicted model, not a curated record
CCACUGAGGAAGGAUCUCUGGUUGGAGAUCUCUCUUUGGGGAAGCUUUCCCCUGCAAAACUGGAAUCUUCUGAUAUGGAUUUGUCCAUGGGGAUUAUUUGCCGGAGGGGAAUUGGACUGUAAUUCCUGAAAUCCUGAGAAAGAUGAUCAUUUGGAAAAGUUUAGGGAUCUGGCAGAAAGGCAGAGCGUCAGUUCUGCUCAGGUUUGCUGUGUGUUGGGAGCUUUUCCUCAGUAGAAGAAGACAUGAAGAGAACAGCCCGGGUUAAGCCUUAGCCCAUCUCGCUUGCAGAUAACCUCCAGGCUUGCUUAUGUCUGCAAGAUCCGAGCAAAGUGGAGCAGCAGAGCUGGCAAAUGGGUACAAUUCAGCAUGCAGAGUGAAGGUGUGGGCGAGGAGGGGUGCUUUAGGUUUUCUUCUAUACAGUGACAGUGUUUUCUUUCUUCUGCUUUUACACCAAAUGCAGAGCUGCUUCUUUCGCACUACUGAAGCUUGCGCUUGAAUCCAAAUCAGAGGAGAGCCUUGCUGCAAAACACCACGUCUAGCCCUGCCAUGGAAGAGCACUUAACAACGGCAAAGCUUCCCAUCCUGAGGUGGCUGCUCUGUGGGAAGCAAUCCGUUCUUGAGAGGAAACGUUCACCCCGUGGUCCUCUGAACAAAGUCAUGGACACCAUCAGUAUUGGUUUCCUGCAUUAUAGAGUUACUGAUGUGCACACCUUCAAUCAUUGCAGAGCCAACUGCUUGCCAAGAAUACAAACGAUGGCAUUUUCCUUCUGAGGAGGAGUGCAUCCAGGUGCAAGGGGCAGAACUGGAACGUGGUGUGUGACAUAACUGAGUGCUGUGGGAUCACAGCACCUUGGAACAGUGUGGGAGCUGCAAAGAGUCCUUUGUCCUCUCCAGUUCCUCUCUGAGAAGUCAGCGGUGUUUGGUGCCAUCCAGGCAGCAGGGAACCUGCAGAGAGCAAGCUAUUAACAUAAUGGAGAGGCUUCUUCAGGAGCAGUGUUGUUGACCGCCCUCUGUGAGCUGUUGUAAAUGCAGCAUCCAUCUUCAGGAGAAAAAGUACCUGCAUUGUUUCCUGGGAACAGAAUGUCUUCAUUGCCAUCAUGACUCUGCGGCCGUUAUCUGAUCUUUGUUGUUACCAUUUGAUUGAGGGGAGAGAAUUCCAUGUGUGGAGGUAGGGGGGGAAAAAGAGAAAACUGUAGGCUGGAAUGCUGGUUGUGGAAUCGCAGAGGAAAAAAAUGUAAGCUUGGGAAUGGCAUCUCCUUGUGAAUUUGGUCUACCAUCUCUAGAGACCACAUUCGAUCAGGGAACGUGGAGCCCUGCUGCACAAACAGCCCUCGCUUCCAUGAGGAGCCCCGGGCCUCCCCAGCCCGCUGCUGUCUCUCCCAGGAGGCACGAGCACAGCCCAUGCACUGCUGCGACAUGCUGCCCCAAAACAAAGCUUGACCUCAGCAGUGCAGUGGGGCUGCUGCUUCCUGCCUGUGUCAGCGCUGCUCAUUAUUAUGGCCCUGAUGGCGGUGUUUGGUUACUGUGCUCCUGCCAGUGUAAUUAUACCCAACUGUAGAGAUGUGCCUCAGUACAAGUUUUAAGUUACAUAUGUCUGAA